CCUACGGGGGACAGCAGUAGGGAAUCUUUCACAAUGGGGGAAACCCUGAUGGAGCAACGCCGCGUGCAGGAUGAAGGCUUUCGGGAUGUAAACUGCUAUCAUAAGCGAGGAAAAUGACGGUAACUUACGAAUAAGCAUCGGCUAACUACGUGCCAGCAGCCGCGGUAAUACGUAGGAGCCGAGCAUUAUCCGGAGUGACUGGGUGUAAAGAGUUGGGUAGGAGGCAUACUAAGUAGCUAUUAAAAUCUCGUGGGCUAACCAUUCAGACUAUUAGCGAAACUGUAAAGCUCGAGUGCGUGAGAGGUAAGUGGAAUUUCUAGUGUAGGAGUGAAAUCCGUAGAUAUUAGAAGGAACACCAGUAGCGUAGGCAGGUUACUGGAACGGAACUGACGCUAAGGCACGAAGGCGUAGGGAGCAAACGGGAUUAGAUACCCGAGUAGUC
This 442-nucleotide ribosomal RNA is filed under the name uncultured bacterium. Its description in RNAcentral is "partial 16S ribosomal RNA". It matches the Rfam family "Bacterial small subunit ribosomal RNA", at positions 338 to 795 of the family's 1533-position model. The record is from RNAcentral.